Molecule: ribosomal RNA, 524 nt
Filed under: Starmerella bacillaris
Lineage: Eukaryota; Fungi; Ascomycota; Dipodascomycetes; Dipodascales; Trichomonascaceae
Description: partial large subunit ribosomal RNA
Rfam family: Eukaryotic large subunit ribosomal RNA
Source: RNAcentral
GCUAAUCAAUAAGCGGGAGGAAAAAGAUACCUACAGGGAUUGCCGUAGUAACGGCGAGUGAACAGGCAAGAGCUCAGAUUUGAAAGGCACUUUUGUGCCGUUGUAUUCUGAAGUUAGGGUCCUGAGAUAACGAUGCUUAAGUCUUCUGGAAAGGAGCGCCAUGGAGGGUGAUAGCCCCGUCUAGCAUUGACCUCAUAUAGGAUCUUAACAUGGAGUCGAGUUGUUUGGGAAUGCAGCUCAAAUGGGUGGUAUGCUCCAUCUAAAGCUAAAUAUCUGCGAGAGACCGAUAGUAAACAAGUACUGUGAGGGAAAGAUGAAAAGAACUUUGAAAAGAGAGUGAAAAAGUACGUGAAAUUGUUGAAAUGGAAGGGUAGGCCGCUAACCAUGUAGAGCCGUGUUUGGGGGGAAGAUAAAUGCUGUAGAAUGUAGCUCCUCGGAGUAUUCAUAGAUGCAGUUCAUAUUCCCAACCCGAGUCGUCGUAGGAUCUCAGUUUCUACUAAAUGUUGUCUAUCCACCUGUUUCCA